This 490-nucleotide ribosomal RNA is filed under the name uncultured bacterium. RNAcentral's name for it is "partial 16S ribosomal RNA". It matches the Rfam family "Bacterial small subunit ribosomal RNA", at positions 30 to 507 of the family's 1533-position model. The record is from RNAcentral.
AUUGAACGCUGGCGGCAGGCCUAACACAUGCAAGUCGAACGGUAACAGGAAGCAGCUUGCUGCUUUGCUGACGAGUGGCGGGCGGGUGAGUAAUGUCUGGGAAACUGCCUGAUGGAGGGGGAUAACUACUGGAAACGGUAGCUAAUACCGCAUAACGUCGCAAGACCAAAGAGGGGGACCUUCGGGCCUCUUGCCAUCGGAUGUGCCCAGAUGGGCAUAGCUAGUAGGUGGGGUAACGGCUCACCUAGGCGACGAGCCCUAGCUGGUCUGAGAGGAUGACCAGCGACACUGGAACUGGGACACGGUCCAGACUCCUACGGGAGGCAGCAGUGGGGAAUAUUGCACAAUGGGCGCAAGCCUGAUGCAGCCAUGCCGCGUGUAUGAAGAAGGCCUUCGGGUUGUAAAGUACUUUCAGCGGGGAGGAAGGGAGUAAAGUUAAUACCUUGGCUCAUUGACGUUACCCGCAGAAGAAGCACCGGCUAACUCCGUG